Molecule: transfer RNA, 61 nt
Filed under: Tigriopus japonicus
Lineage: Eukaryota; Metazoa; Arthropoda; Copepoda; Harpacticoida; Harpacticidae
Description: tRNA-Met
Source: RNAcentral
UCAAAAAUAAGCUAAAUAAGCUGAAGAGCUCAUGACUCUUUGAUGGGGUUUCCUUUUUUGA